Long non-coding RNA from Acinonyx jubatus (cheetah), 3354 nucleotides. RefSeq lists it as uncharacterized. Lineage: Eukaryota; Metazoa; Chordata; Mammalia; Carnivora; Felidae. The transcript has 4 exons. The record is from RefSeq and is a predicted model, not a curated record.
GGUGGCCUCUGCGCCGAGGCCUGUGGCGCCUGCGCACUGGCGAUCGGAUGCAACCCACCCAGACCCUCCGGCAGGAGUGUCGGCGGCCCCUUCACCGAGCGGAUCUACCCACGUGUGUUCCGCCGCCCGCUGGGGGCGCCUCGGCGCCAGUCGGCUCCCUGUGCGCCGCCCUGUACUCAUCUUUGCGUCACACUUCGGGGCAUGCGUGCCACGGAUCCGCCACUAGAUUAUAUGCCCUGGAUUAUUCUUCCCGGUUUUGCGUCUCGGGGCAGGUACCCGGUCAGUCGGUUGCCACGUGUUUACGGAGCACCCGGGUUCCAGGCAUUGUGCUGGGCGCCGGCAGCAUGGGCGAGGUCCCGACACUCAAGUAGGAGAGAGAGACAAUGAAAGGAAUCAUAGGCUGCACCCAGCUCCAACCAGCCCUCACAACAGGUGCCUAAACACGCAAAUUGGUGAAUUUGCUUGGCGUGGGCCUGGGGAGCCCAGCGGCACAGAAGACACACUGCAGGAGGAAAAAUGGCAACGCAGACAGCAGAAGUUUUGGUCUGAGGCUCGGCGCAGGAGUGCGGUUCAUUCUGGGAAAUGGGCGGGGACACAUGGCCUGGGAAGAGCCCACGGAGAAGUACCCCUGUGGGGCUUGCGGCAGGCGAAGCAGAGGAGGAAGAACCAGGGAGGAGUGUCUCAGAGAGCGGCCCGUGCGCCCCCUGUCCCGAUUCUGGUUGCUCGCGCAUCCGAACAGCUUUCCGGGAGAGGAACCGAAACGGCGCCGGCCGCAGAACCCGAAUGACGUGGACGGAUGUCUUCCACUUAGAACAGCCUCCAUCGGGCAGGGAUGGCAAGCCGCCUGCCAGACCAUAAACGUGAGCUUCAAAGACACGGGGGUGUGAGUCCACAUCACUGCAGACGUUGAAAGUGAACGGUGUCUGUCACCAUCUUGGAAAGCCACCCUGGGCAAGGGGGCGGGGCUGGGAGCGGGCAGCAGGAACCGCUGCAAGAGGGACGCGUUUGAGGGCGUCUGGUCCUUUCUCCCCCCUGGAGACGUGUGCGUCCACAGGAGAAAUGCCCAAGCACGUUCCUAUAGGGAACGAAAGCUCAUGGUUGCCUCUGGUGCUUGCUGGGCUGAGGCACUGGUUCCCAACUGGGGCCAAUUUUGUCCUCCUGGGGGACAUUUGGCAAUGCCUGGAAGCAUUCUCGAGGUCCCAUUUUGGGGGGGGGUAGGCAAGCUACCAGCAUCUGGUGAGUGGAGAGGUCACGGAUGUUGCUAAACACCAUACGGCACACAGAUGGCCUCGCAACCGAGAAGCGUCAGCCCCAGAUGCCAGCGGUGCUGAGCUGGAGGGACCCUGGUUUGAGGGGGGGCACAGGCUCCGUGUCGGCGGGGGUGGCCCGUUCCUCACACCCGUCAUCUCAGUGAAGGUGGGACGGGGAAGGGAGGCCUGUAGCCCCUCCCUGGUGGUCACAGGAGAGGCGAGCAGGCCUCUGCUCCCAAUCCCCAAAUAUCUGGGGGUGGGGGUGUGCCCAAAAGGCGCCUCAGGCUAACCUCCCCAGGUAGGUGGAAGGAUACGGGCAGAGUUUUUCAUCUCAAGUCAACUCUUACUUAUUUAAAAACCGAUUUCCUUAAGCACAUAAUUAUAUGUUUAUUUCCCCGAGGAACUCUUGAGGCAGCAGAGAUCUGCUUAAAUUAUGGGGACGGAGGCUGCAUAGGGGGCUCUAAUGGGGUUAGAAAAAUGUUCCGUCUCCUCUGAAGGAGCCCCGGGAGGAAGGGAAGGGCAGGUUCCCCUCCUGCCGUCCAGAGGACAGGAUGCAGGGGAGUGGGAGCGGAGGGCAGGAGUGUGAGGACUGGCUGUUCGACAGGGCACGCCAGGAUCAGAGCAGACGUGAACCCUGGGGUGCAGCCUCGAGCCCCCACUUCCCUGUUCCGAUCCUGGUAGGUGGAGGGGAGGGGUCCGGGGAGCAGGCCAUCCACAGGUUUGCUCCCUUCACGCACGUGUGUGCACACACACACACACACACACACACACUCCCCUGUGGAAGGGGGCUCUGGCACACGCACACGCACACAUGCACACACACACACGCUCCCCUGUGGAAGGGGGCUCUGGCGCACGUGGAGAAACAGGCCCAGGCCUCCGGUGAGGCGGCAGGUGGAACAGGUGGCCGGGCUUCGGUGCAUCGGUCUCCGAGCCGCUUCCGGCUCUGCUGCAGCCUGAGUGCCUGCAACUGUGGGUGCCUCUCACGCACGGCCUGGCCGGGCUGGUGGGGACCCAGGGGAGCAGGAUGAAGGACGGAUUACUCGGCUCUGAUAGUCCUCAGCGGAGAGGGGCCCUUAGUUAGUCCGCUGCAGGACUGGAACUUAACGGCCUGUCUCCCUUCCGGAGACAGCGGCAAGACUCCAGCCGUAACACUGUGUGAGAGAGCAGAAAGAUGGGUCAGGAGCGGGCGGCUUGGGCCUGCCUCUGGCCUAGGCUAUACAGGACGGGGUCCGCGGUGGGGGAGCUGGCCUCCUUCCUCUGUGUCCACUGCAUCUGGAAGGCAGGUCUGUCCCAGCGCCCCUGUCCCUGCUGCGGCCCUGUGCGAGCCUGUCCCUGCAGGAGGUGGUGAGUCAUCUCACUCAGCUGGAGCCUCCGCACCUGACAAGGCCGGGGACGCACAGCACUCAGGACGCGGUUCAGGACCAACCUCUGCCUCGUGCAGCCCGGCCUGCUGCACAACAGGGGACGGGGAUUCAGACAGAAGUUACAAUAAAGAGUCCGUGUGGCUGGUCUACCCCAUUCAUCCUGUGUCUCAAAGGCUCUGGGCCUUCUAGAAUGGUCUCCAACCAGGAAGGGAAGGGAACAUCAGAGAAACACGCUAAGAGUCAUGGCCCCGCAUCCCUUCAUCUAACCAUCAAAUAGCCCUCUCCACACAACCGCCCAGGCUGGCUCGGUUCCAGCCUCCCUGGGCCUGGGGCUGGGGGACAGCGUCACAGGCAGGGGCUCACGGGGAAGCCCAGAAGCCCACGGCUGGUGAGAGACGCCUGGUCCUGGGGAACUGGCGAUAGUAGUUAUCUGUGUGCACAACACCCAGGCCUUCUCCGUCUCGAGAGGGUGGACAGGAUGACACAGGAGGGGCAUGCGGGCCCAGACUGAGGGGUUGUGUCCACAGGACGCUUCCGGCCUGUGAGCAUCAGAGACCCCGGGCCCCUGGGGAUCUGUGACCUUUUCGCUGACCGGCUCCCCAGGAGAGACAUCAAAGAUUGUCAGGGAACAGACACAUAGCGUCUCAGCAUCUUUCAGGGGCUGAAGAUGUGUGCUGUGGUCCCGGCCCACCCUUCCACUUUCUAGAAGCCUGGCCUUGGGCCUGGGCCUGAGCUAC